This 391-nucleotide unclassified non-coding RNA is filed under the name soil metagenome. RNAcentral describes it as "partial contains 5.8S ribosomal RNA, internal transcribed spacer 2, and large subunit ribosomal RNA". The stretch from base 1 to 122 matches the Rfam family "5.8S ribosomal RNA", at positions 35 to 154 of the family's 154-position model. The record is from RNAcentral.
GAUGAAGAACGUAGUGAAAUGCGAUACUUGGUGUGAAUUGCAGAAUCCCGUGAACCAUCGAGUCUUUGAACGCAAGUUGCGCCCGAAGCCAUUAGGCCGAGGGCACGCCUGCCUGGGCGUCACACGUCGUUGCCCCCCCAUCUACUCCUUCGGGAUUGCGGGGGGCGGAUGAUGGCCUCCCGUGCGCCUCGCCGCGCGGUUGGCAUAAAUGCCAAGUCCUCGGCGACGCACGCCACGACAAUCGGUGGUUGCGAAACCUCGGUUGCCCGUCGUGUGCGGUCGUCGCGCAUCGAGGGCUCGAAAAAAUUGCCGGGUUCCGGCUCGGCUUUCAACGCGACCCCAGGUCAGGCGGGGUUACCCGCUGAAUUUAAGCAUAUCAAUAAGCGGAAGA